UUCCCAUCCAUUCCUGCCUCUGUGCCUUGCUCUAACCCAGCUGGCCACAGCCCCACCUGGCCCAGGUGCCGCCGGCCCUGCUUGGUCCCCAUACAAAGGCCUGUGGGAGAGGCUGGGAAAUUGCCAUCCACCUGGGGACAGUGGGAAACAGUCAUCGUCAGCCUGUCCAUAUCCAGGACACCGUGCUGCAUCCUGGCUCACAAUCAGGAACCAGAAGGCAGCACGGCCCCCACAGGGCUGGCACGGGCAGCCUCACUGUGGCCUGUGCCCUGGGCAGUACCAGGCAGCUCCAUCCUGUGGUACCCAGGCUGAGUCCAUCUCUUACGCCCACGCCCAACCUCUCAGCAAACCCAGGCAGCUCCAGGUGCACAAAAUCUGCACAGCACCUGCCCUUUCUCGCCCGACCAUGGCCACCACCCUGGCCCCAUCCACCCCUGUCUCCAUCUGGACCAUCACUCCCAUCCACAGACUCCCUGCUCCUUCCCACCCCACCCUCGCAAUCUGUUCCACAGCCACAGGGAGACUGUGAACACCUGUGUCACUCCUCCGCCCAGAACCCUCCCGGGGUGCCAUCCUGCCCUGAGUAAAGGGCAAAGUCCUCCCCUACGGCCCACCAGGCCUCACAUGAUCUGCCCCGCCCCACUCUGACUCUGUGGCCUCCCACAGCCUCCUUGCUCACCCAGCCUGGCCACUGCUUAUUAUUCUGUUCCCACCACGGGGACUUUGCUUGGCUGCCCCUCCCCAUAGGUCACUCCCUACCCUCCUUCCAAUGUUUGCUCAAAUCUUGCCUUCCCAGCCAGGCUUCCCCUGACCACUGCCUUUAAUACUUUAACCACCCUGCCUUUUUUUGAACUCCUAAUUUUUUAUUUUUAUUUUUAUUUUUUGAGAUAGGAUCUAGCUCUGUUGCCCAGGCUGGAGUGCAGUGGCGUGAUCAUAGCUCACUGCAACUUUGAACUGCUAGGCUCAAGGGAUUCCUCCUGAUUCAACCUCCCAAGUAGCUGGGACUAUAGGUGCACACCCAGCACUUAUAAUUGUAAUUUUUAAUAGAGAUGGGGUUUCACUAUGUUGCCCAGUCUGGUCUCAAACUCCUGGCCUCAAGUGAUCAUCCCACCGCAGUCUCCCAAAGUGCUGGGAUUGCAGGUGUGAGCCACCACACCUGGCCACCACACUGCCCUUUUUACCCCCUUUGCCUACUCUGAUUUUCUUGGAAACCUUCCAUAGACUUCACAGCUUCCUCUCACCAUCCCACUCAUCCAGCCACUGGCCAUGGCCACCUUCCCUGUUACUGUACGCAGGCUCCAGGAGGGCUGGUCAGCUCAGCCUCUCUGCUGGAGUCCUUUAUUAGUUUCCCAUUGCUGCUGUAACGAAUUACCACAAACUUGGUGCCUUCAAACACAUUUAUUCUCUUGCUGCUCUGGAGGCCAGAGUCUAAAAUCAGUUUCACUGGGCUGGAGUCAAAGGAGCGGAAGGACUGCCUGCCUUCUGGAGGCUCGGGGGAGCCAUUCAUUGCCUCUCCUGGCUUCUGGAGGCUGCCAGCAUUCCUUGGCUUGUGGCUGCAUCACUCCAAUCUCUGCCUCUGGAGUGAUUUUGCCUUCUCCUCUUCUGUGUGCAACCUCCCUCUGCCUCUAAUUUAUAAGGACACUUGUGACAGCAUAUAUGGCUUACCAGGUAGUCCAGGAUAAUCUCAUCUCAAAACCAUUAACUUGGCCAGGCGCGGUGGCUCAUGCCUGUAAUCCCAGCACUUUGGUGGGCCGAGACAGAUGGAUCACCUGAGGUUAGGAGUUCGAGACCAGCCUGGCCAACAUGACGAAUCCCUGUUUCUACUAAAAAUACCAAAAUUAGCCAGGUGUGGUGGUGCGUGCCUGUAAUCCCAGCUACUUGGGAGGCUGAGGCAGGAGAAUUGCUGGAACCUGGGAGGUGGAGGUUGCUGUGAGCUGAGAUUGUGCCAUUGCACUCCAUCCUGGGCGACAGAGCGAGACUCCAUCUCCAAAAAAAAAAAAAAAAAUCAUUAAUUUACAUCUGCAAAGACGCUUCUUUUGUAUAACAUAACAUUUAUAGGUUCCAGGGAUUGGGUUGCUGUCUUAGUCUAUUCAGGCUGCUAGAACAAAAUACCAUAAACUGGGAGGUUUAAAAAAUUUAUUUCUCACAGUAGUAAAGCCUGGGACAUUCAAGAUCAAGGUGCUGGCAGAUUCGCUGUCUGAUAAGGGCCCUGCUUCCUCAUAGAGGAGGUCUUCUCCCUGUGUUCUUACAGAGUGGAAGAGGCAAGGGCUCUCUCUAUGGCCUGUUUUAUAAGGGCACUAAUCCUAUUCAUGUGUACUUUGCCCUCUUGACCCAAUCACCUCCCGCAGGUCCCACCUCCUAAUACCAUCACCUUGGGGGUUGGGAUUUCCAUAUAUGAAUUUUGGGGGUUUUUUCUAGAGACAGGGUCUCUCUCUGUUGCCCAGGCUGGAGUCACAGAUCACUGCAACCUCAACCUCCCAGGCUCAAGUAAUCUUCCCACCACAGCCUCCCAAGUGUCUGGGACUUCAGGUGCAUCCCACCAUGCCUGGCUAAUUUUUUUGUAGAGAUAGGGAUCUUACUAUGUUAGCCAGGCUGACCUUGAAUUCCUGGGCUCAGGCGAUCCUCCUGCCUUGCCCUCCCAAGGUGCUGGGAUUACAGGCGUGAGCCACUGCUCUUGGCCUCAGUAUGUGAAUUUCAGAGGGGAUACAAACAUUGAGACCAUCGCAUACCUGAAUAUAUUUGGGGGUCGUUAUUCAGCCUACUGAUAAUCAGGUCCUGACUGAUGGUGGUUCUAGGAGAACAGAGCCUCAGGGAAGCUCAUCUGCAGCUGGUUCUCUAAUCUACAGGGCUUAAGAGCAUCAUCAACCCUGUUGCCAUGGUUAAGGGGGCACUGGUAGUUCACAACAUGCAGAGACAAAAUGGUGACUUAUACUGUGACCUGUCGUCACCUGUCAUUUACAGGGUCAGGUCCAUUCUGCACUGGUCUCCCUGUUGAGCAAGGACGGUGGCCAUUGUCAGUCCAGGCUCCCCACUUCCUUGUUCUUUUUUUUUUUGAUAGAGUCUCUCUCUGUCACCCAGGCUGGAGUGCAGUGGCACGAUCUCUGCUCACUGUAACCUCCGCCUCCUGGGUUCAAGUGAUUCUCCUACCUCAGCCUCCUGAGUAGUUGGGAUUACAGGCGCCCGCCACCACGCCCAGCUAAUUUUUGUAUUUUUAGUAGAGAUGGGGUUUCACCAUGCUUUCCAGGCUGGUCUGGAACUCCUGACCUCAGGUGAUCCGCCCACCUCGGCCUCCCAAAGUGCUGGGAUAAUAGGCGUGAGCCACUGUGCCUGGCUGCUUGUUCUUAUCCCUUUUUUUUUUUUUUUUUUGAGACAAGGUCUCGCUCUGUCACUCAGAGUGGAGUACAGUGGCGCGAUCAUGGCUCACUGCAGCUUCGACCGCCUGGGCCCAAGCAAUCCUUCUCCCUCAGCCUCCUGAGUAGCUGGGACCACAGGUGCACGCCACCACCCCCGGGUAGGUUUUUCCAAUUUUUUUUUUUUUUUUAAGAUGGAGUCUAACUCUGUUGCCCAGGCUGGAGUGCAGUGGCACAAUCUUGGCUCACUGCAACCUCUGCCCCCACCAGGUUCAAGUGAUUCUCCUGCCUUAGCCUCCCGAGUAGCUGGGAUUACAUGCACAUGCCACCACGUCCAGCUAAUUUUUUGUAUUUUUAGUAGAGACAAGGUUUCACCACAUUGGCCAGGUUGGUCUUGAACUCCUGACCUCAGGUGAUCUUCCCGCCUCGGCUUCCCAAAGUGCUGAGAUUACAGGCGUGAGCCACCGCACCCGGCCGACUUUUACAAAAUUAUUAUUAUUAUUUUGUAGAGAUGGGGUCUUUCUAUUUUGCCCAGGCUGGUCUUGAACUCCUGGCCUCAAGCCAUCCUCCCACCUCAGCCUCCCAGAGUGCUGGGAUUACAGGCAUGAGCCACCACACCCAGCCAACAAGGGGAGCCUUAAGUACAGAGCAAAGUCUCCUGGUAGCUCACCAGCCAGGUGGUGGACUGGUAUUGGGGAGUCCACCCCAGUGGGGACUCACUGAAGCAGACCAGUAUGUGGGAAAACCAUGGACAUGACCCCCAGAUCUAAGAGCAGUGGACACUGGGGAAGACCCUCUACUCCCACUCAACCCUUUCUCCGGUAAGGACCCAAGAGGGCAGAGGCCUAACCCAGCCCCCGGCGUUCAUCCUGAUUCAUCCAAUGAGUCUAAUCUUCUGUGGUGUGACUUGUUCAGGAAUGGGCAUCCAACCUAGUUCUGGCCAAUGGGGUGCAAGGGGAGGAGGAUGUUCUGAAAAAGUGUAGAAAAAAGAGGAUCACAGAUCUAAGGUUUGUAGUAAGAGUCUGUGGUUUCCAGAAUGACAUGGAAGAAGGAAUGAGGGAGGACACCUACAAGUUAGAUGAUGGCUACACCCCAAGACUUCAGAGGUGUGGACUGAAAGCCACAAAAGAAGGAAGUAAAUGGUCAGAUAAUGCAUUUCCUUUAGGAAUGUAAGUCAUGAGGCCAGCUGACCACGGUGAAAUCUUACAUUGGGAAAUAGUGUGGGCUGUUGACUUGACAAUGGAGCCAUAGGUUAGCCGCCAUUUUGCAGAGCUAUCUGUGAAGGUGCUGAUGACACUCUUGAAAGGAUCCCAGUACUGGUCGAAGGUGAAGACACAGGAAUCCAUCAUGUGGUGAGAUUCUAACUUCAUCCCUAACUGGCGGUCUACAUUACGUGUAGAUCUGUUUACUAAGGCAGUUGAUCUCUUCUUUGGCGUGUCUUUGAAAGGGGUUUUCUCAUUCCUUAUGUUACCAAAUAAAGGAGGUGUUUUUAUUGCACUCUCCAGGAAGGACAAGUGGAGGAAGAACAGCUGCAGUUUGUCUCUGUCCCUCAUGCCUUCCCUGGGGGUGACGGUGGGGGAGGACCCAUGGUUUAGUGGAACUUAUUCUUGUGCCUAUAAACCAGCUAGAGAGGAGCCGCCAUUAUUUAUGUAUUUAUUUAGAGAUGGAGUCUUGCUCUGUCACCCAGGCUGGAGUGCAGUGGCGAGAUCUUGGCUCACUGCAACCUCUGCCUUCUGGGCUUAAGCGAUUCUCCUUCUUCAGCCUCCCUCCCAAGUAGCUGGGAUUACAGGCGUGCGCCAACAUGACUUGCUAAUUUUUUUUUUUUUUGUAUUUUUAUUUUUAUUUUUUUUUGUUUUUUAUUAUUAUUUUUUUUUAAUUUAUUUUUUUAUUGAUAAUUCUUGGGUGUUUCUCACAGAGGGGGAUUUGGCAGGGUCAUGGGACAAUAGUGGAGGGAAGGUCAGCAGAUAAACAAGUGAACAAAGGUCUCUGGUUUUCCUAGGCAGAGGACCCUGCGGCCUUCCGCAGUGUUUGUGUCCCUGAUUACUUGAGAUUAGGGAUUGGUGAUGACUCUUAACGAGCAUGCUGCCUUCAAGCAUCUGUUUAACAAAGCACAUCUUGCACCGCCCUUAAUCCAUUUAACCCUGAGUGGACACAGCACAUGUUUUUGUAUUUUUAGUAGAGACGUGGUUUCACCAUGUUGGCCAGGCUGGUCUUGAACUCCUGGCCUCAGGUGAUCGGCCCAUCGUGGCCUCCCAAAGUGUUGGGAUUACAGGCAUGAGCCACUGCACCUGGCCAAGGAGCCUCCAUUUUAGAUGGUAAGUUCAAUUUGGGGGUGUUGGGAAGCCCGCUGCGGCCACCCAGCUAAGCCUUUACCAACAGGCUGAUAUAUAUUUUUUUAAUUUUUAAUUUUUGUAGGUGUACUUAUUUAUGGGGUAAAUGAAAUGUUUUGAUACAAGCAUGGAAUGUAUAAUAAUCACAUCCUGGAGAAUGGGGCAUCCAUCCCCUCAAGCAUUUAUCCUUUGUGUUACAAACAAUCCAAUUAUACUCUUUCAGUUAUCUUUAAAUAGGCGAGUUAUUAUUGACUAUAGGCGCCCUGUUGUGUGAUCAAAUAGUAGGUCUUAUUCAUUAUUUCUAUUUUUUUAUACCCACUAACCAUCCUCUCCUCCCCCCAACCUCCACUAUCCUUCCCAGCCUCUCUAUGUCCAUGAGUUCAAUUGUUUUGAUUUUUAACUCCCACAAAUAAGUGAGAACAUGUGAUGUUUGUCUUUCUGAACCUGGUUUAUUUCACUUAACAUAAUGGUCUCCAGUUCCAUUCAUGUUGUUACAAAUGACUAGAUCUCAUUCUUUUUUAUGGCUAAAUAGUACUCCACUGUGCAUAUGUACAUUUUCCUUAUCCAUUCAUCUGCUGAUGGACACUUAGGUUGCUUCCAAAUUUUGGCUACUGUGAGCAGUGCUGCAAUACACAUGUCAGUGUAGAUAUUUCCUUAACAGAUACACUGAUUUCCAUUCUAUGGGGUAUAUACCCAGCAGUGGGAUUGCUGGAUCAUAUGGUAGCUCAAAUUUUUAGGUGUUUUGUUUUUUUUUUUUUUUUUGAGACAGAGUCUAGCUCUGUCCCUCAGGCUCAAGUGCAGUGGUGUGAUCUUGCUCACUGCAACCUCUGCCUCCCAGGUUCAACUGAUUCUUCUGCCUCAGCCUCCUGAGUAGCUGGGAUGACAGGCAUGCACCAUGACGCCUGGCUAAUUUUUGUAUUUUUAGUAGAGACGGGGUUUCACCACAUUGGCCAGGCUGGUCUUGAACUCCUGACCUCAAGGGAUCCACCUGCUUUGGCCUCCCAAAGUGUUGGGAUUACAGGUGUGCGCCACUGCGCCCAGCCUCAAUUUUUAGUUUUUUGAGGAACCUCCAAACUGUUCUCCACGGUGGUUGUACUAAUUUACAUUCCCACCAACAAUGUACGAGGGUUCCCUUUUCUUCACAUCAUUGCCAGCAUUUGUUAUUGCCUGUCUUUUGGAUAUAAGGCACUUUAAUUGGGGUGAGAUGAUAUAUCUCACUGUAGUUUUGAUUUGCAUCUCUCUAAUGAUCAGCGAUGUUGAGCCCCUUUUCAUAUGCCAAUAGGCGGAUAUUUCUAGCUGUCUGUGUGAUUCCUGGGUCUACUUCUCCAAAAUCAGACUGGAAGCAGAGAGGCAGUGUGGAGAGCAGAUAAGAGUCAGGGCUCUGCUGCCAGACUGCCCGAGUUCAAAUCCUGGCUCCACCUCUGGCUCACUGGGGGGACUUUGAGCAUGCCACUCAGUCUUUCUGACCUCAGUUUCCCCCUGUAUAAAAUGGGGAUGAUAAUGCUACCUAUCUCAUAGGGUUGUGGAGAGGACCAAAUGAGCUAGUAUGGGGUAUUUCAUGGAUCCACGGAAUUGGGAUGGGUGUUAAAAUAGAUGAUCUGUUGUGGUUUAAUCAACAGUGGUCUUUUUUGCUUCCUUUUUUUUUUUUUUUUUUGAGAUGGAGUCUCACUCUUGUUGCCCAGGCUGCAGUACAGUGGCGCAAUCUUGGCUCACUGCAGCCUCUGCCUCCUGGGUUCAAGCAAUUUUCCUGCCUCAGCCUCCUGAGUAGCUGGGAUUACAGGCAUGUGCCACCACGCCCGGCUAAUUUUGUAUUUUUAGUAAAGAUGGGGUUUCUCCAUGUUGGUCAGGCUGGUCUCGAACUCCUGACCUCAGGUGAUCCACCUGCCUCGGCCUCCCAAAGUGUUGGGAUUGCAGGUGUGAGCCACUGCACCUGGCUGCUUUAUUUUUUUCUUUCUAAGAUGGCUCUUAUGCACAGAGCACCUUAGAGUUGGUGUAAUAGGGCACAUGGGAAGGCUAAGAGCAGUGCUUGUAGCACAGAAAGUAGCAUGUGACUGUUGAUCAGUAUCAUUACUGUUAAUUCCCCUCAAACACCCCACAGCUCCCUCCGCUCUCUUGAGGGAGUCCCGCAGAAAGACAGCUUCUCUCUCUCUCUCAUUCUGUCUUUCUCUCUCCCUUGCCUCUGCUGAACUCAAACAAGAAAGCGUGUUGCAGUGGUGUUGGCAGCCUUUCACUUACAACCUUAUCUUCAGGAUGAAGAUAAAACUAGAUAGAGAUUGCAGAGCAGAGAAACGGGAACCCAGGAUGCCAAUGACAUCAGUGAGCAUCUGGACAGACUACACAUCUUCUGUGGGUUUCCUGUUACUUGCAGCCCAAAGCAUUCAUAUGUGGAGUGUGUGUGUGUGUGUGUGUGUGUGUGUGUGUGUGUGUGUGUGAAAUGUUCUCCUGAAAGCACUGGGGGGUUUCUGAGACUUCUGAACAUGGGCUAUCUUUACUAGUGUUUUUUCAGGCCUGUCUCCCACUCCUGAGCCCCCUAAGCCAGUAUUCUCUCCAACAAGGCCUCUUUCCCUACCCCAUGCUACAGAUCUCUGGGAAGCUGAGCCCAGUGGUCUGAUUGACAGGUGACUCCAAGAUGUUGCUUGUUCAAAGAUGCUGAGAUCUCUCUGGAAAUUGUCACUAAUUUCCACUUAGGACAGCAUUUCCCAAAGAGUGGAAUAUGCUAGUGAGAUUUGACACAUUUAGGUGGUACACAAAACAUUUGUUAUGUGAAUAGCUCUGUGUUUUCUUUUUUUCUUUUUUAGAGAUAGGGUCUCACACUGUCACCCAAGCUUGAGUGCAGUGGUGCAAUCUUGGCUCACUGUAGCCUCGGCCUCCUGGGCUCAAGUGAUCCUCCCACCUCAGCCUCCCAAGUAGCUUGGACUACAGGCACACGCCACAGUGCCCAGCUAAUUAAAAAACAUUUUUUUUUUUUGUAGUGAUGGGGUCUUGCUAUGUUACCCAGGCUGGUCUUGAACUCCUGGCUUCCAUCAAUCCUCCUGCCUUGGCCUUCCAACAUGCUGGAAUUACAGGCAUGAGCCACUACACCCAGCCCAGCUCUGGGUGUACAGGCGCCUGGGUGUUUUUUUUUUUUUUUUUUUUUUUUGAGACAGAGUUUCACUCUUGUUGCCCAGGCUGGAGAGCAAUAGCUCGAUCUCAGCUCACUGCAACCUCUGCCUCUGGGUUCAAGAGAUUCUCCUGCCUCAGCCUCCUGAAUAGCUGGGAUUACAGGCGCCCGCCACCAUGCCGGCUAAUUUUUUGUAUUUUUAGUAGAGAUGGGCUUUCACCAUGUUGGCCAGGCUGGUCUCGAACUCCAGACCUCAGGUGAUCCACUCGCCUCAACCUCCCAAAGUGCUGGGAUUACAGUCGUGAGCCACCACGCCCAGCCCUGUAUUUUCUUUGAAAAAGUAUUAAAUGAUUUUGGUUUUCUCUUUAUAGUAGUGAUACAAUGUUGCCUUCAAAAUGAAUUAAGCCUAAACAUUAUUUAAAGAAAUUAAGUAAAUAAGAGUUUAAGUAGUCCUUGAAUAGGACAAAAAAAUCUCAAGUGGUAUGUGAGCCACUGAAGUUUGGGUAGCUUGGUUUUAGAGAAACCCUGCACUAUUUUUUUUCCCCCUGGCGACGGUCCCCAGUUUGUCUGGCCUGGGGGUGAGACUCGCUCUUCUUUCUUGGGUUUGCUUUUCAAAUGCACAGAGCAGGGCACUCAGCCGACAACAUGAGGGCUGACGGUUGUCACCAAGCAGCGAUGUCUCUCCACUGGGAGCCUUUAAAAAGGCUACACUUGGCCCGGCGUGGUGGCUCACGCCUGUAAUCCCAGCACUUUGGGAGGCUGAAGGGGGCAGAUCACCUGAGGUCAGGAGUUCGAGACCAGCCUGACCAACAUGGAGAAACCCCGUCACUAAAAAUACAAAAUUAGCCGGGC
This 9632-nucleotide long non-coding RNA is filed under the name Homo sapiens (human). RNAcentral's name for it is "HSALNT0397905". The record is from RNAcentral. Lineage: Eukaryota; Metazoa; Chordata; Mammalia; Primates; Hominidae.